Molecule: ribosomal RNA, 382 nt
Filed under: uncultured eukaryote
Lineage: Eukaryota
Description: partial 18S ribosomal RNA
Rfam family: Eukaryotic small subunit ribosomal RNA
Source: RNAcentral
UGUAAGCGUAUACCAAAGUUGUUGCAGUUAAAACGCUCGUAGUCGGAAUUUGGCAGUUCCGGAUGUGUGCACGUCGUGUGCGCACUUCGCUGGGAUUGCUUUUGUGGUCUUGCGUAGGAUGAGGCACUUUUAUUAGUGAACGUCCUCACGCAACCACUUUUUACUGUGAGAAAAUCAGAGUGCUCAAAGCAGGCAUUUGCCGUGAAUGUAUUAGCAUGGAAUAAUAGAAUAGGACUUGGUUCUAUUUUGUUGGUUUGUUGGGACUGAGUAAUGAUUAAGAGGGACAGUUGGGGGCAUUUGUAUUUCGGUGCUAGAGGUGAAAUUCUUAGAUUACCGAAAGACAAACUGCUGCGAAAGCGUCUGCCAAGGAUGUUUUCAUUGA